GAGACGGAGUCUCUUUCUGUCGCCCAGGCUGGAGAGCACUGGCACGAACUCAGCUCACUAACCUCUGCCUCCCGGGUUCAAGGGAUUCUCCUGCCUCAUCCUCCCAAGUAGCUGGGAUUACAGGCGCAUGCCACCAUGCCCGGCUAAUUUUUGUAUUUUAGUAGAGACGAGGUUUCACCACGUUAGCCAGGCUGGUCUUGAACUCCUGACCUCAGGUGAGCCGCCUGCCUCGACCUCCCAAAGUGCUGGGAUUCUAGGCGUGAGCCACUGCGACCGGCCUAGUUCCACUUUUAGUUUUGUCUGAGAAAAUAUAUAUUAUACACAUUUGGUUUUUCUAAAUUUUGUAUAAAGUUAUGGGGCACAAUUGUAAUUUUGUUACAUGGAUAUUUUGCUGCAUGGGGUGAAGCCCGGGCUUUUUGAAUAUCCAUCACUGGAAUAACAUGCAUUGUACCCAUUAGUAAUUUUGCAUCUUGCACCCCCAACCCUUCCAAGUCUCCAUGUUUUCACACUCUACGUCCAUGUGUACACAUUAUUUAGCUCCCACUUAAGAGAAUUUGGGGUGUUUGUCUUUCUGUGUCUGAGUUGUUUCAUUUAAGGUAACGGCCUCCAGUUCCAUCCAAGUUGCUGCAAUAAACAUGAUUUCAUUUGAAAAUACACAUAUAUGUAUACGUAGAAUUUUUAAAAUUAUCUUUAAAAUUUUUGCUUCUUUCUGGUUAUUUCCUCAAGGUCAUCCAUAUAUCUCCUGCAGCUGAAUCUCUCGAUAUGCCUCUGCGGCCCUCUGUACCCUAAUCUAAAUUUUUAUUUUUAUUUAUUUAUUUAUUGAGACGGAGUCUCGCUCUGUGUCGCCUAGGCUGGAGUGCAGUGGCACAAUCUCUGCUCACUGCAACCUCCGGCUCCUGGGCUCAAGCAAUUCUCGUGCCUCGGCUUCCCAAGUACCUGUGACUGCAGGUGUGCGCUACCACAACAUGGGGUCUCACCCAUGUUGGCCAGACUGGUCUCGAACUCCUGACCUCAAGGGAUCCACCCGACUCAGCUUCCCAAAGUGCUGGGAUUACAGGCGUGAGCCACUGGCCCAACCCCACUCUAAAUUUUUAAAAUUAUUGUUGAAUAAGUAAAAGUAAUAUGUAUCAUCUUGUACUUUUUUAAAACUUCUUGAAUAAAAUGUAAUAGUUUACAUUUCAUUGACAAAUUUAUCAGUCCAAUUCUGCUUUACAAUGCCAUCCCUUGGGAACCACAGCUUAUUCUCUCAAGAGAGUUGAAAAUACGCAUUUGGUUAUAAUUAUUUAACAUGAAAAAUGUAUCCAUUCCAAGCCUAACCUGAGAGAUACAGAUAAUAUACAUUCCUAUAAUUGAGCUCUAAAGUGCUUUUAUUCUUAGGAUAAAUUUUAAAAACUAGAAUCUGUGGAGACCCAAGAUCACAUGUAAAACCAAUAAAUAUAUAUAUUUUUGUAAAGUAUGUAAAAAUAGCAUUGAAAAGAAUAAAAAUUAGGCAAUUUGUGAGUGGAAGGAGAGAUGGCAAAAGUCUUUUAUUAACAAAAUAAUCAUAGUUAUGGAAGUUUUAUUACAUGCCGGCCACAUUCUCAGUAUGUUAAAUGUAUUGGCUUAUUUAAAACUCACAAGAAUCUCAUGAGAUAUUAAUAUUUCCCCCAUUUUAAAGAUGAGGCUCAGAGAGAUUAGAACUUGCCCAAGCUCAUACAAUGAGUGACCCUUGGAGCCCAGCAAUGAACCGAGUCAGUGACAUUACAGACUUCAUGAUAAAAAUGUGACUCUUGGCCGGGCGCGGUGGCUCACGCCUGUAAUCCCAGCACUUUGGGAGGCCGAGGAGGGCAGAUCACGAGGUCAGGACAUGGAGACCAUCCUGGCUAACACGGUGAAACCCCGUCUCUACUAAAAUACAAAAAAUUAGCCGGGCGUGGUGGCAGGCAUCUGUAGUCCCAGCAACUCGGGAGGCUGGGGCAGGAGAAUGGCGUGAACCCGGGAGGUGGAGCUUGCAGUGAGCCGAGAUUGUGCCACUGCACUCCAGCCUGGGCGACAGAGCAAGACUCCGUCUCAAAAAAAAAAAAAUGUGACUCUUUCGAAAAAAAAAAGAGCAGAUAUUUGUUUCCACCAGUGAUGAUCUUCAAAAUUGUUACUACCAGUUUUAGAAUCUCUGGCACGAUGAGAAUAAUCAGGCUUAUAUCCAUAAUGUAUUUUAAAGGUGAAUUUGUUUUGGAGUAGUUAUAAAUGAAGCUGAGAAAUUGACAGUAAGCAUAGGAUUGGCAGAAAGCAAAAUGACUAUCUUACAUAUUGAUGAAUGGAUGCAUUGAAACAUAAUCUGCACAAAGAAAAAUAUUUCAUUUUGAAUAAACAUGCCUAUCUGCGUCGAUUGAAACUUGGCCAGGUUUCUGUUCUCCUUUGUUUUGCAUUAUUUUCACUUGAAUGGAAAAACAUUGUUACUAAAUUGGUUAAAAUUAUUACAGGAAGAAUGUUGUUUCGAAGUAUAAAGUAAUUUAUACAGAAUUUCUAUGUUACAUUAUCUGAUUGAGACAGUUAAGCAAAACAAAGUCAAAUUUCUUCUUCUUCUUCUUUUUUUUUUCUGAGACAGUCUUGCUCUGUGGCCCAGAACUGGAGUGCAAUGGCAUGAUCUCGGCUUACUGCAACCUCUGCCUCCCAGGUUCAAAUGAUUCUCCUGCCUCAGCCUCCCGAGUAGCCAGGAUUACAGGCACACGCCACCAUGCCCAGCUAAUUUUUGUAUUUUUAGUAGAGACGGGGUUUCACUACGUUGGCCAGGCUGGUCUCAAACUCCUGACCUCGUGAUCCGCCCGCCUUGGCCUCCCAAAGUGCUGGGAUUACAGGCAUGAGCCACCUCACCCAGCC
Molecule: long non-coding RNA, 2856 nt
Filed under: Homo sapiens (human)
Lineage: Eukaryota; Metazoa; Chordata; Mammalia; Primates; Hominidae
Description: non-protein coding lnc-DHRS7B-10:1
Source: RNAcentral